This 1389-nucleotide long non-coding RNA is filed under the name Homo sapiens (human). RNAcentral's name for it is "HSALNT0112320". Lineage: Eukaryota; Metazoa; Chordata; Mammalia; Primates; Hominidae. The record is from RNAcentral.
CCCAGCUCUUAGCAGCCACCUUCCCCUACACAUAGCCUGGGCCUGGGCCACAAGGCACCAUGCAGGUGCCAGCAGGGGCUCUGCUCUUUCCUGCCUUGGUGUGUUUGUGCCUGUUUUCAUUGCCGGACUGCCCAACCCACCCUCGGAUGUCUGUAAAACUCUUACGCAACCCUGAAGACGCUGGCUCAAACACAACCGCUGGCCUUCCUAGAGAAAUCUUGGCGCCCUGAGUUGACAUCUUUGCUGGAGACUGACAGCUGGAAUGAGAUGUUCAAGUGAAGAAGAUGAAGAGAAACACGUCUCUUUAAGCUGGUUUCAUCAACUUGAGACAUAGAGUUGACAUUUAUCAAAAGCUUUCUGGCUUCCAACAUGAAAAUUUCUAGAUAAUGUUCAGCCUAGAAAGUGGAAGAUUAAACUUCAAUGUUUCCUGUGAAAAUAAACCUUCAUUAAAAAAAUAAUUACCAAACACCUACUGUGCCAGGCUCUGCAGUAAGCAUCAGAGACACAGCACCCAGCAGAGAAGGAGCCCUAUGAGGUCUCUGUCAUCCUGGAACUUAGUCCUGACCUCCAACAUAAAGCCAGUCCUUUCAUUUAAAGAUGGAAUUGGUUGGAACACAAAGGAAACACCAGUACAAUUCAUAACUACGGAAACCUCCACAGAGCAAUGGAACACAGCUACAUUCCUGCACCUGGAAUGUCUGGUUUCAUGAGCAUCCAGAAGGAAGCGGGUGUGAAACUGAUCACCAACAUGUACAUUCUAAUUAAAUUCAGUCACAUUGCUAAAGCUGAGGACUCACAGAAUGGUUAUAAUGUACUUAUUUAAAAAAUAAAAUUUUAUUCUAAAAUAAUUCAAAUGAGAAGGAAACCAGGCAUAUGACUGUAAGUUAGUACUUAGCAAUCUAAUGAGUGAAGAGUUCUUAAAUAUAACAAUAGUCAAAACAGAAACAAUGAAAAACUUAGACUUUUUUGUUCAUAUUUGUCAAUUAAAACUGAUCAUAAACCAUUUUAAUCUUCUAACCAGUGUCUGUUAUAAUUUUGUCCAUUUUUUCAAUGGCAAAGAUUCCUAUUUAGAGUUCCUUCUUAUUCAAGGGGAUUGCUAGCUUUGUUUUCAAACUGAAAAUAACUUUAUUGUUUUGUGAUUAUAAAAAUGGGUAAAAGUAACAAAUGUUCAUAUAGUGUUUUAGCAAUACAUAAGUUCUGCAAUACUUAAAAGUGUGAAGAACAUGAAAUACAAGUAUAGCCAUCACUCAGUAUCCAUGGGGAAUUGGUUCCAGAAUCUUCCUUGGAUACCAAAAUUUGUAGAUGCUCAAGUCCCUCAUAUAACAUGGUGUAGUAUUUGCAUAUGACUUCCUGUAUACUUUAAAUCGGCUCUAGAUUACAUAUAAUACC